RNAcentral lists this ribosomal RNA (638 nucleotides) under uncultured bacterium. RNAcentral describes it as "bacterial SSU rRNA". It matches the Rfam family "Bacterial small subunit ribosomal RNA", at positions 88 to 724 of the family's 1533-position model. The record is from RNAcentral.
CCGGCGACCGGCGCACGGGUGAGUAACGCGUAUCCAACCUUCCGUACACCCAGGGAUAGCCUUUCGAAAGAAAGAUUAAUACCUGAUGGUAUGAUGAGAUUGCAUGAUAGCAUCAUUAAAGAUUUAUCGGUGUACGAUGGGGAUGCGUUCCAUUAGGUAGUAGGCGGGGUAACGGCCCACCUAGCCAACGAUGGAUAGGGGUUCUGAGAGGAAGGUCCCCCACAUUGGAACUGAGACACGGUCCAAACUCCUACGGGAGGCAGCAGUGAGGAAUAUUGGUCAAUGGACGAGAGUCUGAACCAGCCAAGUAGCGUGAAGGAUGAAGGUCCUACGGAUUGUAAACUUCUUUUAUAAGGGAAUAAACCCUCCCACGUGUGGGAGCUUGUAUGUACCUUAUGAAUAAGCAUCGGCUAACUCCGUGCCAGCAGCCGCGGUAAUACGGAGGAUGCGAGCGUUAUCCGGAUUUAUUGGGUUUAAAGGGAGCGCAGACGGGUCGUUAAGUCAGCUGUGAAAGUUUGGGGCUCAACCUUAAAAUUGCAGUUGAUACUGGCGUCCUUGAGUGCGGUUGAGGUGUGCGGAAUUCGUGGUGUAGCGGUGAAAUGCUUAGAUAUCACGAAGAACUCCGAUUGCGAAGGCAG